Molecule: unclassified non-coding RNA, 2191 nt
Filed under: Hevea brasiliensis (rubber tree)
Lineage: Eukaryota; Viridiplantae; Streptophyta; Magnoliopsida; Malpighiales; Euphorbiaceae
Source: RNAcentral
GUGCUUGGAUGAGCUUGUGAAGAUUGUUAAAUGUAACCUGCUCUUUGGGAACAUUAUUCUCCCUGUUUUCUACGAUGUAAGCCCUAACCAUGUUGCUAAGCAAACAGGUCCUUACAAGAAAAUCUUUCGCAAGUAUGAAGACAAGUACAAGAACAAUAAGCAGAGGGUUGAAAAGUGGAAGGCUGCUCUUAAAACAGUUGCAGAAAUAAGCGGAUGGGACAUGCCAAAUUACAGAUCUGAAGCAAAGUUAAUUAGAAUAAUUGCAAAUAAGGUAUUACGUAAACUGACUAAGGCAUCCCCAAGUGUUAACAAGCAGCUAGUCCAAUUGAAUUCUAAAGUAAAGGAACUGAAUCUUCAGUUAUGUGAAGAGUGGGAGAAAGGCAAUAUAAAAUUUUGUGGUUUGAAAUGGAGUAGAAGGAUAUGGCCGGAUAGUGCUAUGGAAACCAAUCUGAAAAAGAAAAGGUUGCAAAACAAACAAGUAGAUGUAAUUGUUAAUGAAGUGGAGAAACUAGAACAACUAGUAUAUUUUGCUAGAGAGCAAGACUGGUUUGGCCCUGGAAGUAGAGUCAUCAUAUCAUUUGGCGAUCCGAUUGAAAAUAACAUGAAAGUACUUCAUAUAAAUUUUCAGGGUCCGACCAACAGAGAUAAGAAAAUAUUCCUAGAUAUUGUAUGUUUUUUCGAGGGGAUGCACAAUAUUGAAAAUGCAAUGAGAACUUGGAAUAAAUUACUAUUGGGUAGUGGUCUCCUAGUAAACGUCGGGAUGAAGGUUCACAUGGAUGAAUUUACAAUUUCUGAUGAUGACAAUCUAUUGCUACAUGAGCAUAGAACACUCAACAUUUUGGUAAGCUAGCUCCAACCUAAAGCUCGGAUCUUUGUCCUUUUUAUUGCUGUAAGGUGGCUUCAUGAGAAAUUUUAGAAUAACGUCUUUAUUAUAACCAUUGAUUCUGAUGGGUUUUAUGAAAGUUCCAUUAUAAUUAAUGGUUUAUACAUACGAUGAUUGAAUGAAAUAAUUUGAGAGUUGAAUUUUUUCAUUCCACUAACACAUUUUGUGUUUAAUUGUAGGAAAUAGAUUAUGAAGUGUCCCCUGAAAAGACGAAGCCCAGCAGAGCCGCAAGCAAGAUGGAAGGUACUACACCGAAAGAAGAUUUUCCCCAACAGGAAAUAGAGAAGGUUCCUCCAUCUCUCAUGGAAAAGCAAGAAGAAUUAAAGCCAAACGGGUUUUUUAAGACUCCAAAAGUUGAACUUUUUCAUGAAGAAGAAGUUCACAAUGAAGCAACAAUGGCGAAACCAGCUGUUGCUGCAAUGGAGCUUCCUGCACACGCUGAAGAAGAUAAAGAAGAAGCCACACCUCUAUCCAAUGGCCCAAAAGCCCCAACGGUAAACCCCUUGUGAUCGUCUCAUCCAUUUUAAGUCUUCAAUUUUCCAUUAUGAACUUUUAGUCUAAUAUUACAUUCGCUUCCAGGUACCAUCUGGAAAUGAAAUUUCAGGAUACAGACCUAGCCCUGAAUCUUUGCAGCAGCAGAAACAAACAUUAGAAAAAUACUUAAACAUGUCAUUAGAAGCUAUCCAUAAAGCUGAAGCGUUUAACGACAUUGAAAAAAUUGUCAGCACCUUGACUCAUCAUUCUGCUAAUUUAUACGAGAAAGCAAGCCUGCUAAAGCUUAUGCAUCGUUUAGCAGAAUUCAAAGGGAGUGUUCCUGGCUCUAUGGCCAUUGCAAAGAGUACCCAAGCUCAAAGAACAUCUCUUUUCAAGAAGUCUAGAAAGCUGAACAACAGUCUAGCUCAACAACAAGAAAAGCUCCGUUCUACAGAGGCUGAGCUUUCCAAGAUAUCUAAAGAGGAGGAAGAACUAGAGAUCAAAAUUCAGAACUUGAUUUCCAGUAAAGAAAAGCUGCUAGAGCAUAAGAAGUUCACUGCACUUCAAUUGGAAAACACCAAUAAAAUGGUAUCCAAUAAUCUAGCAGAACAGAAGGAGCUGGAGGGGGAAAUCAAGCAAGCAAAUGAAAACUGGUAUAAGGCAAAAGAAAAGCUAGCGUUGGCCAAUGCAAUCUGGAAAUUGUUCAAAGAAUGCAUCGAGUUAUAAGUUGAACAAGUAUCUUCACUUGAGCAAAUAUGGUUUCCUUUUAGUUGUAGUCUGUUUCUUUUCAUUGGGUUGCUGUACUAAGUAAUAAUUAAGUACCUAUUGCAAAAA